GACGAACGCUGGCGGCGUGCUUAACACAUGCAAGUCGAACGGAAAGGCCUGCUUUCCCUUGUGGAUUGCGGGUACUCGAGUGACGAACGGGUGAGUAACACGUGAGUGAUCUGCCCCCAACUUGGGUAUAAGCCUGGGAAACUGGGUCUAAUUCCCGAUAGGGCUGCAGGGUGGUGCCUGUGGUGGAAAACGAUUUUCUAGUGGUUGGGGAUGAGCUCGCGGCCUAUCAGCUUGUUGGUGGGGUAAUGGCCUACCAAGGCGGCGACGGGUAGCCGGCCUGAGAGGGUGGACGGCCACAUUGGGACUGAGAUACGGCCCCGACUCCUACGGGAGGCAGCAGUGGGGAAUAUUGCACAAUGGGCGGAAGCCUGAUGCAGCGACGCCGCGUGGGGGAUGACGGCCUUCGGGUUGUAAACUCCUUUCGACCGCGAGGAAGCCACCUGGUUGGAAGGGUGGUGACGGUAGUGGUAGAAGAAGCACCGGCUAACUACGUG
Molecule: ribosomal RNA, 494 nt
Filed under: uncultured bacterium
Lineage: Bacteria
Description: partial 16S ribosomal RNA
Rfam family: Bacterial small subunit ribosomal RNA
Source: RNAcentral